RNAcentral lists this ribosomal RNA (811 nucleotides) under Escherichia coli. RNAcentral describes it as "partial 23S ribosomal RNA". It matches the Rfam family "Bacterial large subunit ribosomal RNA", at positions 2099 to 2904 of the family's 2925-position model. The record is from RNAcentral. Lineage: Bacteria; Pseudomonadati; Pseudomonadota; Gammaproteobacteria; Enterobacterales; Enterobacteriaceae.
CUUUACUAUAGCUUGACACUGAACAUUGAGCCUUGAUGUGUAGGAUAGGUGGGAGGCUUUGAAGUGUGGACGCCAGUCUGCAUGGAGCCGACCUUGAAAUACCACCCUUUAAUGUUUGAUGUUCUAACGUUGACCCGUAAUCCGGGUUGCGGACAGUGUCUGGUGGGUAGUUUGACUGGGGCGGUCUCCUCCUAAAGAGUAACGGAGGAGCACGAAGGUUGGCUAAUCCUGGUCGGACAUCAGGAGGUUAGUGCAAUGGCAUAAGCCAGCUUGACUGCGAGCGUGACGGCGCGAGCAGGUGCGAAAGCAGGUCAUAGUGAUCCGGUGGUUCUGAAUGGAAGGGCCAUCGCUCAACGGAUAAAAGGUACUCCGGGGAUAACAGGCUGAUACCGCCCAAGAGUUCAUAUCGACGGCGGUGUUUGGCACCUCGAUGUCGGCUCAUCACAUCCUGGGGCUGAAGUAGGUCCCAAGGGUAUGGCUGUUCGCCAUUUAAAGUGGUACGCGAGCUGGGUUUAGAACGUCGUGAGACAGUUCGGUCCCUAUCUGCCGUGGGCGCUGGAGAACUGAGGGGGGCUGCUCCUAGUACGAGAGGACCGGAGUGGACGCAUCACUGGUGUUCGGGUUGUCAUGCCAAUGGCACUGCCCGGUAGCUAAAUGCGGAAGAGAUAAGUGCUGAAAGCAUCUAAGCACGAAACUUGCCCCGAGAUGAGUUCUCCCUGACUCCUUGAGAGUCCUGAAGGAACGUUGAAGACGACGACGUUGAUAGGCCGGGUGUGUAAGCGCAGCGAUGCGUUGAGCUAACCGGUACUAA